This 363-nucleotide ribosomal RNA is filed under the name uncultured bacterium. Its description in RNAcentral is "bacterial SSU rRNA". It matches the Rfam family "Bacterial small subunit ribosomal RNA", at positions 29 to 416 of the family's 1533-position model. The record is from RNAcentral.
AACGAACGCUGGCGGCAGGCCUAAAACAUGCAAGUCGAGCGGGCAUAGCAAUAUGUCAGCGGCGGACGGGUGAAUAACACGUGGGAACAUGCCCUUUGGUACGGAACAACUCAGGGAAACUUGAGCUAAUACCGUAUGUGCCGGUAACGGGAAAGAUUUAUCGCCAAAGGAUUGGCCCGCGUCCGAUUAGCUAGUUGGUGAGGUAACGGCUCACCAAGGCGACGAUCAGUAGCUGGUUUGAGAGAACGAUCAGCCACACUGGGACUGAGACACGGCCCAGACUCCUACGGGAGGCAGCAGUUGGGAAUCUUGGACAAUGGGGGAAACCCGUGAUCCAGCCAUGCCGCGUGAGCGAUGAAGGCC